This 913-nucleotide ribosomal RNA is filed under the name uncultured Chloroflexota bacterium. RNAcentral describes it as "bacterial SSU rRNA". It matches the Rfam family "Bacterial small subunit ribosomal RNA", at positions 391 to 1334 of the family's 1533-position model. Lineage: Bacteria; Bacillati; Chloroflexota. The record is from RNAcentral.
GCAACGCCGCGUGGGUGAUGAAGGCCUUCGGGUCGUAAAACCCUUUUCUGGGGGAAGAGUAAGGACGGUACCCCAGGAAUAAGCCUCGGCUAACUAUGUGCCAGCAGCCGCGGUAAUACAUAGGAGGCAAGCGUUAUCCGGAUUUACUGGGCGUAAAGAGCGUUGAGGCGGCUUCGUAAGUUGGACGUGAAAGCUCCCGGCUUAACUGGGAGAGGCCGUUCAAUACUGCGGGGCUUGAGGACAGCAGAGGGGGGUGGAAUUUCCGGUGUAGUGGUGAAAUGCGUAGAUAUCGGAAGGAACACCAGUGGCGAAGGCGGCCCCCUGGGCUGCUCCUGACGCUGAAGGCGAAAGCUAGGGUAGCGAACGGGAUUAGAAACCCCGGUAGUCCUAGCCGUAAACGAUGGAUACUAGGUGUAGGAGGUUAAAAUUCCUUCUGUGCCGGAGCUAACGCGUUAAGUAUCCCGCCUGGGGAGUACGGUCGCAAGGCUAAAACUCAAAGGAAUUGACGGGGGCCCGCACAAGCAGCGGAGCGUGUGGUUUAAUUCGAUGCAACGCGAAGAACCUUACCAGGGCUUGACAUGUAGGUAGUAGUGAAGCGAAAGCGGAACGAUCCUUCGGGAAGCCUACACAGGUGCUGCAUGGCUGUCGUCAGCUCGUGCCGUGAGGUGUUAGGUUAAGUCCUGUAACGAGCGCAACCCCUGCCGUUAGUUACAAGUGUCUAACGGGACUGCCCGGCAAAACUUGGAGGAAGGUGGGGAUGACGUCAAGUCAGCAUGGCCUUUAUGUCCUGGGCUACACACACGCUACAAUGGCCGGUACAAUGGGUUGCCAAGCCGCGAGGCGGAGCCAAUCCUCUAAAGCCGGUCUCAGUUCGGAUUGUAGGCUGCAACCCGCCUGCAUGAAGUUGGAGUUG